AUGCCCUUCUCUACGGAAUAGCCUCGGGAAACUGAGAGUAAUACCGUAUACGCCCUACGGGGGAAAGAUUUAUCGGGGAAGGAUUAGCCCGCGUUGGAUUAGGUAGUUGGUGGGGUAAUGGCCUACCAAGCCGACGAUCCAUAGCUGGUUUGAGAGGAUGAUCAGCCACACUGGGACUGAGACACGGCCCAGACUCCUACGGGAGGCAGCAGUGGGGAAUCUUAGACAAUGGGGGCAACCCUGAUCUAGCCAUGCCGCGUGAGUGAUGAAGGCCUUAGGGUUGUAAAGCUCUUUCAGCUGGGAAGAUAAUGACGGUACCAGCAGAAGAAGCCCCGGCUAACUCCGUGCCAGCAGCCGCGGUAAUACGGAGGGGGCUAGCGUUGUUCGGAAUUACUGGGCGUAAAGCGCACGUAGGCGGACUGGAAAGUUGGGGGUGAAAUCCCGGGGCUCAACCUCGGAACUGCCUUCAAAACUAUCAGUCUGGAGUUCGAGAGAGGUGAGUGGAAUUCCGAGUGUAGAGGUGAAAUUCGUAGAUAUUCGGAGGAACACCAG
RNAcentral lists this ribosomal RNA (552 nucleotides) under Paracoccus marinus. RNAcentral's name for it is "bacterial SSU rRNA". It matches the Rfam family "Bacterial small subunit ribosomal RNA", at positions 126 to 712 of the family's 1533-position model. The record is from RNAcentral. Lineage: Bacteria; Pseudomonadati; Pseudomonadota; Alphaproteobacteria; Rhodobacterales; Paracoccaceae.